Molecule: long non-coding RNA, 567 nt
Organism: Eptesicus fuscus (big brown bat)
Lineage: Eukaryota; Metazoa; Chordata; Mammalia; Chiroptera; Vespertilionidae
Exons: 3
Source: RefSeq, a predicted model, not a curated record
ACAGCUGUUUGAAGAGGCAAUUUGGAUCGAUGCAGAGUCAGGGUCAUUAUCUGUAAGAACCUUACAAGCAUUCCAGAACACACGGACAAUCCUGUGGCAGGAUGUCUGGGGGUGGCGGGGACCGCUGCCUCCGUGGGACCCGGGGUAGCCGCGCAGACAGAAAAGAAGAGAACUCAGUGACACCUCUGGGGUCUGCUUUGCGUCUAUGAGUCCUGCAGCGUGUCCUUUCAGGGGAGCCUUUUGCACUACAGGCCACAGUCAUGUUCAGUGCAGUUCCCAGCCCAGGGGACAGAGCGUGCAAGCAACGAGGGGAAGACAGAGCAGGAGGUUUUCCACGCGUGGAACCACCAGGUUCUCCUUGGGAAGCGGAGGCUCUUGGUUUUUGCAGGUUAAACCCUCAUCUACUAGAGGCGGCAGAUACAGAAGGAACACUGAUGAGAGCCACAGGGGAAGUAGGUCAGACAUUAAGGAACAAAUCUGUUCUGAGAGAAGUCGAGCAGAGGACAUCUUCGAAGUCUACGGAGGAAUCAGGGCAAGGCCCAUGGUCGGAGCUUCACCAUCCUUUGC